AACGCGAAGAACCUUACCUACUCUUGACGAACUUGGAAUCUAGCUGAAAGGUUGGAGUGCCGAAAGGAGCCAAGUAACAGGUGCUGCAUGGCUGUCGUCAGCUCGUGUUGUGAGAUGUUGGGUUAAGUCCCGUAACGAGCGCAACCCUUGUCCUUAGUUGCUACAUGUAAUGGUGAGCACUCUAAGGAGACUGCCGGUUUUUGCCGGAGGAAGGUGGGGACGACGUCAAGUCAUCAUGGCCUUUAUGAGUAGGGCCACACACGUGCUACAAUGGGGCGUACAGAGGGUAGCGAAGCGGCGACGCGGAGCCAAUCUCUUAAAGCGCCUCGUAGUCCGGAUUGGAGUCUGCAACUCGACUCCAUGAAGUUGGAAUCGCUAGUAAUCGCGAAUCAGAACGUCGCGGUGAAUACGUUCCCGGGCCUUGUACACACCGCUCGUC
This 439-nucleotide ribosomal RNA is filed under the name uncultured bacterium. RNAcentral's name for it is "bacterial SSU rRNA". It matches the Rfam family "Bacterial small subunit ribosomal RNA", at positions 958 to 1398 of the family's 1533-position model. The record is from RNAcentral.